This is an RNA transcript of Otolemur garnettii (small-eared galago), 767 nucleotides long. It is a transcript of the gene named methyltransferase-like protein 9 pseudogene, with no coding region annotated. The record is from RefSeq and is a predicted model, not a curated record. The transcript has a single exon. Lineage: Eukaryota; Metazoa; Chordata; Mammalia; Primates; Galagidae.
GGGCGCAAUGGCUCGAGCCCGGGAGGCGGCGGCGGCGGCCGGAGGCGGCGGCGCCUCCUCCUCCUCGCCCCGGCGCCGGCGGUGAUCGGAGCGAGCGGCCGCGGCCCCCGAUGAGACUGCUGGCGAACUGGCUGUGCCUGAGCCUGGCGUCCGUGUGGCUGGCGCGGAGGAUGUGGACGCUGCGGAGCCCGCUCACCCGCUCCCUGUACGUGAACAUGACGAGCGGCCCCGGCGGGCCGGUGGCGGCCGCGGGCGGCAGGAAGGAGAACCACCAGUGGUAUGUGUGCAACAGAGAGAAAUUGUGCGAAUCACUACAGGCUGUCUUUGUUCAGAGUUACCUUGAUCAAGGAACACAGAUCUUCUUAAACAACAGCAUUGAGAAAUCGGGCUGGCUAUUUAUCCAAUUAUAUCAUUCUUUUGUGUCAUCUGUUUUUAGCCUGUUUAUGUCUAGAACAUCUAUCAAUGGGUUGUUAGGAAGAGGCUCAAUGUUUGUGUUUUCACCAGAUCAAUUUCAGAGACUGCUUAAAAUUAAUCCGGACUGGAAAACCCAUAGACUUCUUGAUUUAGGUGCUGGAGAUGGAGAAGUCACAAAAAUCAUGAGCCCUCAUUUUGAAGAAAUCUACGCCACUGAGCUUUCUGAAACCAUGAUAUGGCAGCUUCAGAAAAAGAAAUACAGAGUACUCGGUAUAAAUGAAUGGCAGAAUACAGGGUUCCAAUAUGAUGUCAUCAGCUGCUUGAAUCUGUUGGACCGCUGUGAUCAGCCCCUG